This 481-nucleotide ribosomal RNA is filed under the name uncultured bacterium. RNAcentral's name for it is "bacterial SSU rRNA". It matches the Rfam family "Bacterial small subunit ribosomal RNA", at positions 28 to 526 of the family's 1533-position model. The record is from RNAcentral.
GACGAAUGCUGGCGGCGUGCUUAACACAUGCAAGUCGAACGGUGAAGCCCUUCGGGGUGGAUCAGUGGCGAACGGGUGAGUAACACGUGGGCAAUCUGCCCUGCACUCUGGGACAACUCCGGGAAACCGGGGCUAAUACCGGAUAUGACGUAUUCCCGCAUGGGGGUGCGUGUAAAGCUCCGGCGGUGCAGGAUGAGCCCGCGGCCUAUCAGCUUGUUGGUGGGGUGAUGGCCUACCAAGGCGACGACGGGUAGCCGGCCUGAGAGGGCGACCGGCCACACUGGGACUGAGACACGGCCCAGACUCCUACGGGAGGCAGCAGUGGGGAAUAUUGCACAAUGGGCGCAAGCCUGAUGCAGCGACGCCGCGUGAGGGAUGAAGGCCUUCGGGUUGUAAACCUCUUUCAGCAGGGAAGAAGCGAAAGUGACGGUACCUGCAGAAGAAGCGCCGGCUAACUACGUGCCAGCAGCCGCCGUAACAC